This 1199-nucleotide ribosomal RNA is filed under the name Acinetobacter radioresistens. Its description in RNAcentral is "bacterial SSU rRNA". It matches the Rfam family "Bacterial small subunit ribosomal RNA", at positions 265 to 1457 of the family's 1533-position model. The record is from RNAcentral. Lineage: Bacteria; Pseudomonadati; Pseudomonadota; Gammaproteobacteria; Moraxellales; Moraxellaceae.
CUACCAAGGCGACGAUCUGUAGCGGGUCUGAGAGGAUGAUCCGCCACACUGGGACUGAGACACGGCCCAGAUUCCUACGGGAGGCAGCAGUGGGGAAUAUUGGACCAAUGGGGGGAACCCUGAUCCAGCCAUGCCGCGUGUGUGAAGAAGGCCUUUUGGUUGUAAAGCACUUUAAGCGAGGAGGAGGCUACCUAGAUUAAUACUUUAGGAUAGUGGACGUUACUCGCAGAAUAAGCACCGGCUAACUCUGUGCCAGCAGCCGCGGUAAUACAGAGGGUGCGAGCGUUAAUCGGAUUUACUGGGCGUAAAGCGUGCGUAGGCGGCCAAUUAAGUCAAAUGUGAAAUCCCCGAGCUUAACUUGGGAAUUGCAUUCGAUACUGGUUGGCUAGAGUAUGGGAGAGGAUGGUAGAAUUCCAGGUGUAGCGGUGAAAUGCGUAGAGAUCUGGAGGAAUACCGAUGGCGAAGGCAGCCAUCUGGCCUAAUACUGACGCUGAGGUACGAAAGCAUGGGGAGCAAACAGGAUUAGAUACCCUGGUAGUCCAUGCCGUAAACGAUGUCUACUAGCCGUUGGGGCCCUUGAGGCUUUAGUGGCGCAGCUAACGCGAUAAGUAGACCGCCUGGGGAGUACGGUCGCAAGACUAAAACUCAAAUGAAUUGACGGGGGCCCGCACAAGCGGUGGAGCAUGUGGUUUAAUUCGAUGCAACGCGAAGAACCUUACCUGGCCUUGACAUACAGAGAACUUUCCAGAGAUGGAUUGGUGCCUUCGGGAACUCUGAUACAGGUGCUGCAUGGCUGUCGUCAGCUCGUGUCGUGAGAUGUUGGGUUAAGUCCCGCAACGAGCGCAACCCUUUUCCUUAUUUGCCAGCACUUCGGGUGGGAACUUUAAGGAUACUGCCAGUGACAAACUGGAGGAAGGCGGGGACGACGUCAAGUCAUCAUGGCCCUUACGGCCAGGGCUACACACGUGCUACAAUGGUCGGUACAAAGGGUUGCUACACAGCGAUGUGAUGCUAAUCUCAAAAAGCCGAUCGUAGUCCGGAUUGGAGUCUGCAACUCGACUCCAUGAAGUCGGAAUCGCUAGUAAUCGCGGAUCAGAAUGCCGCGGUGAAUACGUUCCCGGGCCUUGUACACACCGCCCGUCACACCAUGGGAGUUUGUGCACCAGAAGUAGGUAGUCUAACCGCAAGGAGACGCUACC